Molecule: ribosomal RNA, 484 nt
Filed under: uncultured bacterium
Lineage: Bacteria
Description: partial 16S ribosomal RNA
Rfam family: Bacterial small subunit ribosomal RNA
Source: RNAcentral
AUUGAACGCUGGCGGCAUGCUUUACACAUGCAAGUCGAACGGCAGCGCGGGCUUCGGCCUGGCGGCGAGUGGCGAACGGGUGAGUAAUGCAUCGGAACGUGCCCAGUAGUGGGGGAUAGCCCGGCGAAAGCCGGAUUAAUACCGCAUACGACCUGAGGGUGAAAGCGGGGGACCGAAAGGCCUCGCGCUAUUGGAGCGGCCGAUGUCGGAUUAGCUAGUUGGUGGGGUAAAGGCUUACCAAGGCGACGAUCCGUAGCUGGUCUGAGAGGACGACCAGCCACACUGGGACUGAGACACGGCCCAGACUCCUACGGGAGGCAGCAGUGGGGAAUUUUGGACAAAGGGGGCAACCCUGAUCCAGCCAUGCCGCGUGCGGGAAGAAGGCCUUCGGGUUGUAAACCGCUUUUGUUCGGGAAGAAAUCCUCUGGGCUAAUACCCCGGGGGGAUGACGGUACCGGAAGAAUAAGCACCGGCUAACUACGUA